GGGCAGGUGGCACAAUGGGUCAGUGCAUCUGGCUGUUAACCAGAAGGUUGGUGGUUCGAGCUCAGCCAGGCAGCCAUCCUGCCUG
Molecule: transfer RNA, 85 nt
Filed under: Podarcis lilfordi (Lilford's wall lizard)
Lineage: Eukaryota; Metazoa; Chordata; Lepidosauria; Squamata; Lacertidae
Description: tRNA.Asn
Rfam family: tRNA
About the family: Transfer RNA (tRNA) molecules are approximately 80 nucleotides in length.
Source: RNAcentral